Hippocampus zosterae (dwarf seahorse) is the source of this 208-nucleotide long non-coding RNA. RefSeq lists it as uncharacterized. Lineage: Eukaryota; Metazoa; Chordata; Actinopteri; Syngnathiformes; Syngnathidae. The transcript has 2 exons. The record is from RefSeq and is a predicted model, not a curated record.
GCUACAGAUCCAUGCGCACCUAAUCGAGCAGACACUUAAACAGCUUCUUCCCUGUAGCCAUUAACUCCCUAAACAGUCACUGUCGUAGUCACUCUUCUUCUUUUUGUCAUGUCUUUGUUUACGAUGAUACUAAUGCAGCGUGUUAUACCGGAGACAAAUUCCUUGUGUGUCCUACAUACUUGGCCAAUAAAGAUUAUUCUGAUUCUGA